AUUGAACGCUGGCGGCAGGCCUAACACAUGCGAGUCAAAUGGUAACAGGAAACAGCUUGCUGUUUCGCUGACGAGUGGCGGACGGGUGAGUAAUGUCUGGGAAACUGCCUGAUGGAGGGGGAUAACUACUGGAAACGGUAGCUAAUACCGCAUAACGUCGCAAGACCAAAGAGGGGGACCUUCGGGCCUCUUGCCAUCAGAUGUGCCCAGAUGGGAUUAGCUAGUAGGUGGGGUAACGGCUCACCUAGGCGACGAUCCCUAGCUGGUCUGAGAGGAUGACCAGCCACACUGGAACUGAGACACGGUCCAGACUCCUACGGGAGGCAGCAGUGGGGAAUAUUGCACAAUGGGCGCAAGCCUGAUGCAGCCAUGCCGCGUGUAUGAAGAAGGCCUUCGGGUUGUAAAGUACUUUCAGCGGGGAGGAAGGGAGUAAAGUUAAUACCUUUGCUCAUUGACGUUACCCGCAGAAGAAGCACCGGCUAACUCCGUG
This 490-nucleotide ribosomal RNA is filed under the name uncultured bacterium. RNAcentral's name for it is "partial 16S ribosomal RNA". It matches the Rfam family "Bacterial small subunit ribosomal RNA", at positions 30 to 507 of the family's 1533-position model. The record is from RNAcentral.